Quercus lobata is the source of this 1391-nucleotide long non-coding RNA. RefSeq lists it as uncharacterized. Lineage: Eukaryota; Viridiplantae; Streptophyta; Magnoliopsida; Fagales; Fagaceae. The transcript has 6 exons. The record is from RefSeq and is a predicted model, not a curated record.
AGAGAGACGAUGAAAUAGAGAGAGGAUGAGGCCUGGGACACGGAGAAAGAAACAGAGAAAGAGGCAGAACGGUUAACACUGCAUCGAUUGGGCACCAUACAUUGCUUUUUUUCCAUUUUUUAGAUUUGGGCUUUUGAAGGACUUGAUUUUGGUUUAGGGUUACGUUUUUGGUCCAGCACCACCCAUCUUCGGCUCCAUUCAAUCACAGCCUCAACGGUGACUUUGAUUCCCAGUUCGUUCUCUGGCCGAGUUCGUCUCUGCAACAGCAUAUUUUGAAGAAAGAUCCGUGAGGAAGAAGCUUAACUAAAGGAUUGAGCUCUUUCAUGUCACAUGCAAUCACAGCGUAGACCCAUGUAUCUAUGUGGAUUGGAUCAAAGUGCCAGUGGAGGUGAAACUUUUGUAGUGGAUUCGAAUUGCAAAGAGCCCAAGUGUAGGCAUAAUGGCUAUAAAACUGUGUUAUUAAAACUUUUGGUUUGGUAUUGCUUUACAAGUGUAAUCUGUGUAGGACAGUCAAGCUCCUUUGUUUGACUUGCUCUUCCUUUACAUUUAAAAAGGUACUACUGAUGCUGUAAUACUCUAUGCCUCUUUUAUGCAGCUUAGGUCGUAUGCAAGGUUUGUUGCAAGAGGAUAUAUUAGUUCCUAAAGCUAGCAAAAGUGCUUUUGGCUUUCAGUAAAUUUCUGUUGUAUCUAUAGCAAUUCAAUAUCUUAAAUUUUGCCUUUAAAAACCAGGCUUUUCCAAGUGGCGCAUAAAAUUGAAAGACUUGCUACAUUCUUUUAGCCAAUUUUCAAUUCUCCUUCCACCUCCGCAGAAGUUGCCAAAGUACAAGCAGGGUUGGAAUGUCUCUUUGAGGCAUUUUGAUGGGAAGUCAGUAAUCAGUUUUUCAUGGCCUUACUUGGAUGUUUUCUAAUGACUCAUUGUAAUGUACACAUUUUGAUUACUUAAAAAUUUUCUUGCGAAAGCUGAAUUGGAUCUGCCGUUAACUCUUUUUUUAUCAAGCUUGGUGCAUCGCAAAGAGGUCCCCCUCUUCUCAACAAUGUUCAACUCUCUAUGCAUAGUCAAUGGAACAAUUUGCCUUUUAUGUAAUUAAAAAAAAAAAAAAAAGUGUUUGGCUUCAGCUUUGCUAAGUUUUUUGAGAAAGAGCUUUGCUAAGUUGAUAGGUUAUUUUUCUAAAAUCAUUGGUUUAUAUGUUCUGCUUUGGGUGAAAGCCAUAGACCUUGAAAAGAUAGACAGUUCCAAAGCUACUGCAUGAACCUUCGGAGAACAGGAGUAGUAAAGUUGAUUUGGAAGAACAAUGACUUUCUUAGAAUCAAUCAAUGCCCAUGUAACUAAAGUUCAAUUGGCAAUGAGUAAAAAGUAUUAAUUUUUCUGCUCAUAAGAAGUCACUUUUUUU